Molecule: ribosomal RNA, 373 nt
Filed under: uncultured bacterium
Lineage: Bacteria
Description: bacterial SSU rRNA
Rfam family: Bacterial small subunit ribosomal RNA
Source: RNAcentral
ACGUAGGGUGCGAGCGUUAAUCGGAAUUACUGGGCGUAAAGGGUGCGCAGGCGGCCCUGCAAGUCAGGCGUGAAAUCCCCGGGCUCAACUUGGGAAUGGCGCUUGAAACUACGGGGCUGGAGUGUGGCAGAGGGAGGUGGAAUUCCACGUGUAGCGGUGAAAUGCGUAGAUAUGUGGAGGAACACCGAUGGCGAAGGCAGCCUCCUGGGCCAACACUGACGCUCAUGCACGAAAGCGUGGGGAGCAAACAGGAUUAGAUACCCUGGUAGUCCACGCCCUAAACGAUGACGACUAGUUGUUGGGAGAGUUAAAUCUCUUAGUAACGCAGCUAACGCGAGAAGUCGUCCGCCUGGGGAGUACGGUCGCAAGAUUA